AUCAGAGAGUUUGGAACAUGGCUCAGAUUGAACGCUGGCGGCAGGCCUAACACAUGCAAGUCGAGCGGUAGAGAGAAGCUUGCUUCUCUUGAGAGCGGCGGACGGGUGAGUAAUGCCUAGGAAUCUGCCUGGUAGUGGGGGAUAACGUUCGGAAACGGACGCUAAUACCGCAUACGUCCUACGGGAGAAAGCAGGGGACCUUCGGGCCUUGCGCUAUCAGAUGAGCCUAGGUCGGAUUAGCUAGUUGGUGAGGUAAUGGCUCACCAAGGCGACGAUCCGUAACUGGUCUGAGAGGAUGAUCAGUCACACUGGAACUGAGACACGGUCCAGACUCCUACGGGAGGCAGCAGUGGGGAAUAUUGGACAAUGGGCGAAAGCCUGAUCCAGCCAUGCCGCGUGUGUGAAGAAGGUCUUCGGAUUGUAAAGCACUUUAAGUUGGGAGGAAGGGUUGUAGAUUAAUACUCUGCAAUUUUGACGUUACCGACAGAAUAAGCCCCGGCUAACUCUGUGCCAGCAGCCGCGGUAAUACAGAGGGUGCAAGCGUUAAUCGGAAUUACUGGGCGUAAAGCGCGCGUAGGUGGUUUGUUAAGUUGGAUGUGAAAUCCCCGGGCUCAACCUGGGAACUGCAUUCAAAACUGACUGACUAGAGUAUGGUAGAGGGUGGUGGAAUUUCCUGUGUAGCGGUGAAAUGCGUAGAUAUAGGAAG
Molecule: ribosomal RNA, 706 nt
Filed under: Pseudomonas libanensis
Lineage: Bacteria; Pseudomonadati; Pseudomonadota; Gammaproteobacteria; Pseudomonadales; Pseudomonadaceae
Description: bacterial SSU rRNA
Rfam family: Bacterial small subunit ribosomal RNA
Source: RNAcentral